AAUCCAUAGGUUAAUGAGGCGAACCGGGGGAACUGAAACAUCUAAGUACCCCGAGGAAAAGAAAUCAACCGAGAUUCCCCCAGUAGCGGCGAGCGAACGGGGAGGAGCCCAGAGCCUGAAUCAGCAUGUGUGUUAGUGGAAGCGUCUGGAAAGGCGCGCGAUACAGGGUGACAGCCCCGUACACAAAAGCGCAUGUGCUGUGAGCUCGAUGAGUAGGGCGGGACACGUGGUAUCCUGUCUGAAUAUGGGGGGACCAUCCUCCAAGGCUAAAUACUCCUGACUGACCGAUAGUGAACCAGUACCGUGAGGGAAAGGCGAAAAGAACCCCGGCGAGGGGAGUGAAAAAGAACCUGAAACCGUGUACGUACAAGCAGUGGGAGCACAGGUUUACCUGUGUG
This 398-nucleotide ribosomal RNA is filed under the name Salmonella enterica subsp. enterica serovar Infantis. RNAcentral's name for it is "partial 23S ribosomal RNA". It matches the Rfam family "Bacterial large subunit ribosomal RNA", at positions 161 to 595 of the family's 2925-position model. RNAcentral also lists the same sequence under 8 other names. The record is from RNAcentral. Lineage: Bacteria; Pseudomonadati; Pseudomonadota; Gammaproteobacteria; Enterobacterales; Enterobacteriaceae.